GGCAAGGCCAAGGCUUCUUGAAAGGCUGGUCAUGCCCCAGUGAUCAAUGAAGAACUCAGGGAUAUCCCAAAACUCAGGACUAUAAGAAAUUCUAUCUACAGGCACAAUGGGGGAGCAGGUACCAGGUGGCCAGCAUCCUAAAUGACUCUCAGCAGCUGCAGAGAAUGUAAAUAACAAGAGCUGCCUAUAAAUCUACCUCAGAAGACAAAGGGAAAAGCAAAACUCUGCCCAGGAAGACCUUACUUUACAAACCAGCUCAACCAUAUUUACCAGCCUUCCUGUGGUCAUUUGUCUGAGCUCCAGCUAGUGAAGUAUGAGUAGAACGGACAUGCACCACUUCCAGACCUGGCACCGGCAAACCCCCCAUGGCAACCCUCCAACCCUUUCCUCAACAACUGGACCACGCUGGAAAGGACUGAGGAUCUAGAGGAGGACAGGGCUGUAAUAUGGAAGGAGUUUGGUUUCUGAAGGACCAUGUAGCAGGCCACCUGCAGGGCGGGAACAUCUUUAAUAGGUUUGGAAUAGCAAGAAAUAAACUGGUCUUGUAUUAAACAA
Molecule: long non-coding RNA, 555 nt
Filed under: Homo sapiens (human)
Lineage: Eukaryota; Metazoa; Chordata; Mammalia; Primates; Hominidae
Description: HSALNT0297030
Source: RNAcentral